GAUGAACGCUGGCGGCGUGCCUAAUACAUGCAAGUCGAGCGAACAGACGAGGAGCUUGCUCCACUGACGUUAGCGGCGGACGGGUGAGUAACACGUGGAUAACCUACCUAUAAGACUGGGAUAACUUCGGGAAACCGGAGCUAAUACCGGAUAAUAUAUUGAACCGCAUGGUUCAAUAGUGAAAGACGGUUUUGCUGUCACUUAUAGAUGGAUCCGCGCCGCAUUAGCUAGUUGGUAAGGUAACGGCUUACCAAGGCGACGAUGCGUAGCCGACCUGAGAGGGUGAUCGGCCACACUGGAACUGAGACACGGUCCAGACUCCUACGGGAGGCAGCAGUAGGGAAUCUUCCGCAAUGGGCGAAAGCCUGACGGAGCAACGCCGCGUGAGUGAUGAAGGUCUUCGGAUCGUAAAACUCUGUUAUGAGGGAAGAACAAAUGUGUAAGUAACUAUGCACGUCUUGACGGUACCUAAUCAGAAAGCCACGGCUAACUACGUG
RNAcentral lists this ribosomal RNA (497 nucleotides) under uncultured bacterium. RNAcentral describes it as "partial 16S ribosomal RNA". It matches the Rfam family "Bacterial small subunit ribosomal RNA", at positions 28 to 507 of the family's 1533-position model. The record is from RNAcentral.